This 194-nucleotide unclassified non-coding RNA is filed under the name Metamycoplasma phocicerebrale. Its description in RNAcentral is "Mycoplasma phocicerebrale 16S-23S ribosomal RNA intergenic spacer". The record is from RNAcentral. Lineage: Bacteria; Bacillati; Mycoplasmatota; Mycoplasmoidales; Metamycoplasmataceae.
UACGGAGUACACUUUUGUUAUGGAAAAAUUAUUUGUAUCCAGUUUUGAGAGAUUUAUCUCUCUGUUCUUUGAAAACUGAAUAUCGACAUUGAAAAAUUAAAUUAUUAAUAUUUCAAAGUUUAGAUCAACCUAUAGAAUAUAACAUCUAUAAUAAAAAAAAGACAAACAAUAGGUCAUACAAUAUAAAUUUAAAA